Long non-coding RNA from Oncorhynchus keta (chum salmon), 742 nucleotides. RefSeq lists it as uncharacterized. The record is from RefSeq and is a predicted model, not a curated record. NCBI's taxonomy places the organism in Eukaryota, Metazoa, Chordata, Actinopteri, Salmoniformes, Salmonidae. The transcript is spliced from 4 exons.
AGAUUCAGGAGAGACUGGGAGUUAUAUCCACCAAUGUGUUCCAGACACCCAGUCUGCACUGCAGCUGCUGUCAUCACACUGAACCUCAUAGGGAAUGAACUACACCCAGAAAGAGAGAAGCAGACCAGGCUUGUGUUAGUCCCGGCCUCCUUCCUCCAACCCUUAUGUGUUUGCAGGUCUGGUGUGUUGAAUAUGGCAAUGACUCCACCAAGCCUUAGAACUUCCUUCUGCCAUAUCGCUUAUCCCAUCAUUGGGUUUCUUCAGAUUUGGAAACACAGAAAGGGGAAAGCCUAGGGUAAGGAGCUAGGAUUAAAGGUACCAGGGUAAGGAGCUAGGAUUAAAGGUACCAGGGUAAGGAGCUAGGAUUAAAGGUACCAGGGUAAGGAGCUAGGAUUAAAGGUACCAGGGUAAGGUGCUAGGAUUAAAGGUACCAGGGUAAGGAGCUAGGAUUAAAGGGACCAGGGUAAUGAGCUAGGAUUAAAGGUACCAGGGUAAGGAGCUAGGAUUAAAGGUACCAGGGUAAGGAGCUAGGAUUAAAGGGACCAGGGUAAGGAGCUAGGAUUAAAGGGACCAGGGUAAGGAGCUAGGAUUAAAGGGACCAGGGUAAGGAGCUAGGAUUAAAGGGACCAGGGUAAGGAGCUAGGAUUAAAGGGACCAGGGUAAGGAGCUAGGAUUAAAGGGACCAGGGUAAGGAGCUAGGAUUAAAGGGACCAGGGUAAGGAGCUAGGAUUAAAGGGACCAG